AUACGCAUUCCUCCCUUAUGGUUGCUCCAUAUCACUAUGGAGUGUUGUCUAUUUUAGUUGUUUUUACUAUGUGUUAAUAAGAAAACUUUCUUUUAUCUCCAUGCCUGUAAAACCGGUGACCGUCAGCAGGUGAGAACUUGUCGUUCGCUUGCUUAAUAUAUACUCCCUCCGCCCCAAAAUAAGUGUCUCGGCUUUGUACUAACUUUGUACUAAAGUUAGUACAAAGUUGAGUCACUUAUUUUGGGACUGAGGGAGUACAAUGCAUGCCUAGGCCUUUUCUCUAAAAUAGAAGGAUUCCAUUUAUUAAUUGAAAUUUGUUCUGUGUGUUCAUCGACAUAAAGUGAUUGAUCUAUUUACAUGUCUUGUCAGUGAUGUGUAUGAUAUUGAAGAUUUUAUCAUGGUUUUCUUAAACUGAACAGGCAGUAUGAGUUCCAGAAGUUUUGUUACCAAGAACAAUAAACUGAAAAUAGUAAUAGUACCUGAUUUUGAUAGUCUUGCAUCAGUGUAAUUUCGUGCUAUUUGAGUUGUUAAGCAACCUGGCGCCAUUUUUUUUUAUAGAUGACUGUAGUUCAUCUCUGCUCUGGUAAUUAGAUUAGCUUUUAAAAAGUAUUCUGUAGCCUUGCAUAAUAUUUGUCCAAUUUGGGAGUUGCUUUGUUGAGCAGAAGUUCACAUGUUGAGUCUAGUCAAGUAAUGUCUGCAUCAGAAAACGCUAAUGUUACUUGGCUAAAAUAGCAUGUAUGUAAAGUACCGCUAUAUCCUUUAUGAAGAAAGUAUUCAAUCUAAAUUUACAUACUUAUAUUAUAAUAACUAUUAUCCUUCUUACAGUUCUGGGUGUCUCAAGUACUCUUACAAUAUCUUGGUAAAUACAAAUAGACUGUCUCAGUAUUACUUUACUAAGCUAAUGACCCACUAUUUUUUUGGGAAACUUCCUCGGUCUCCUAGGUGUUGCAUCUCCUACUUUAUCUUCAAACUGAGCACUUAUGAACCGGAAGUUGGUUCAUAUCUGUCAAUAAGAUUUUUUUCUCAAAUUUUUUUCUUAAACUGCAAAGACCUUAUGAAAUAGAACUUUUGUUACCAAGAAUAAUUAACUGAAAGAUAGAUAGUGGAUUUGCUUUGUUGCUAAGUCUAAACAUGAGAAGCUUGUUUUUGGUCAGAGUGGCGGUGCCGACAAAGCUAGUGGUAUGUACAAUAGUAGAGAGGCCCUUGAUUUGCUUAUAUGUGGUUCAGCUAUUAAGUUACUGAAGCAAAGGUACUUUCCUGUCUAUUGAGAGUAUGGUUUCUUCAAAUUGUGAAGUGAAUCCUAAUAUGUCAAAACUCUAGUCCUGUAGUAUGUGCUGGUCUCGCACAUAUUUGGUUAAAAUAGCAUGUACAUCAGGGAAGCUACGCAAAGAAAGUACUCAAUCUAUUUUCGGGUAAGAACAUUGCUAACAUUCACACUUAUAUUAAUCGCUAUUUGAGUUGUUAAGCAACCUGGCGCCAAUUUUUUUAUAGAUGACUAUAGUUCAUCUCUGCUCUGGUAAUUAGAUUAGCUUUUAAAAAGUAUUGUGUAGCCUUGCAUAAUAUUUGUCCAAUUUGGGAGUUGCUUUGUUGAGCAGAAGUUCACAUGUCGAGUCUAGUCAAGUAAUGUCUGCAACAGAAAAUGCUAAUGUUACUUGGCUAAAAUAGCAUGUAUGUAAAGUACCGCUAUAUCCUUUAUGAAGAAAGUAUUCAAUCUAAAUUUACAUACUUAUAUUAUAAUAACUAUUAUCCUUCUUACAGUUCUGGGUGUCUCAAGUACUCUUACAAUAUCUUGGUAAAUACAAAUAGACUGUCUCAGUAUUACUUUACUAAGCUAAUGACCCACUAUUUUUUUGGGAAACUUCCUCGGUCUCCUAGGUGUUGCAUCUCCUACUUUAUCUUCAAACUGAGCACUUAUGAACCGGAAGUUGGUUCAUAUCUGUCAAUAAGAUUUUUUUUCUCAAAUUUUUUUCUUAAACUGCAAAGACCUUAUGAAAUAGAACUUUUGUUACCAAGAAUAAUUAACUGAAAGAUAGAUAGUGGAUUUGCUUUGUUGCUAAGUCUAAACAUGAGAAGCUUGUUUUUGGUCAGAAUGGCGGUGCCAAACAAAGCUAGUGGUAUGUACAAUAGUAGAGAGGCCCUUGAUUUGCUUAUAUGUGGUUCAGCUAUUAAGUUACUGAAGCAAAGUCCUGUAGUAUGUGCUGGUCUCGCACAUAUUUGGUUAAAAUAGCAUGUACAUCAGGGAAACUACGCAAAGAAAGUUCUCAAUCUAUUUUCGGGUAAGAACAUUGCUAACAUUCACACUUAUAUUAAUCGCUAUUUGAGUUGUUAAGCAACCUGGCGCCAAUUUUUUUAUAGAUGACUGUAGUUCAUCUCUGCUCUGGUAAUUAGAUUAGCUUUUAAAAAGUAUUGUGUAGCCUUGCAUAAUAUUUGUCCAAUUUGGGAGUUGCUUUGUUGAGCAGAAGUUCACAUGUUGAGUCUAGUCAAGUAAUGUCUGCAACAGAAAACGCUAAUGUUACUUGGCUAAAAUAGCAUGUAUGUAAAGUACCGCUAUAUCCUUUAUGAAGAAAGUAUUCAAUCUAAAUUUUGCAUACUUAUAUUAUAAUAACUAUUAUCCUUCUUACAGUUCUGGGUGUCUCAAGUACUCUUACAAUAUCUUGGUAAAUAAAAAUAGACUGUCUCAGUAUUACUUUACUAAGCUAAUGACCCACUAUUUUUUUGGGAAACUUCCUCGGUCUCCUAGGUGUUGCAUCUCCUACUUUAUCUUCAAACUGAGCACUUAUGAACCGGAAGUUGGUUCAUAUCUGUCAAUAAGAUUUUUUUCUCAAAUUUUUUUCUUAAACUGCAAAGACCUUAUGAAAUAGAACUUUUGUUACCAAGAAUAAUUAACUGAAAGAUAGAUAGUGGAUUUGCUUUGUUGCUAAGUCUAAACAUGAGAAGCUUGUUUUUGGUCAGAAUGGCGGUGCCGAACAAAGCUAGUGGUAUGUACAAUAGUAGAGAGGCCCUUGAUUUGCUUAUAUGUGGUUCAGCUAUUAAGUUACUGAAGCAAAGGUACUUUCCUGUCUAUUGAGAGUAUGGUUUCUUCAAAUUGUGAAGUGAAUCCUAAUAUGUCAAAACUCUAGUCCUGUAGUAUGUGCUGGUCUCGCACAUAUUUGGUUAAAAUAGCAUGUACAUCAGGGAAACUACGCAAAGAAAGUUCUCAAUCUAUUUUCGGGUAAGAACAUUGCUAACAUUCACACUUAUAUUAAUCGCUAUUUGAGUUGUUAAGCAACCUGGCGCCAAUUUUUUUAUAGAUGACUAUAGUUCAUCUCUGCUCUGGUAAUUAGAUUAGCUUUUAAAAAGUAUUGUGUAGCCUUGCAUAAUAUUUGUCCAAUUUCGGAGUUGCUUUGUUGAGCAGAAGUUCACGUGUCGAGUCUAGUCAAGUAAUGUCUGCAACAGAAAAUGCUAAUGUUACUUGGCUAAAAUAGCAUGUAUGUAAAGUAUCGCUAUAUCCUUUAUGAAGAAAGUAUUCAAUCUAAAUUUACAUACUUAUAUUAUAAUAACUAUUAUCCUUCUUACAGUUCUGGGUGUCUCAAGUACUCUUACAAUAUCUUGGUAAAUACAAAUAGACUGUCUCAGUAUUACUUUACUAAGCUAAUGACCCACUAUUUUUUUGGGAAACUUCCUCGGUCUCCUAGGUGUUGCAUCUCCUACUUUAUCUUCAAACUGAGCACUUAUGAACCGGAAGUUGGUUCAUAUCUGUCAAUAAGAUUUUUUUCUCAAAUUUUUUUCUUAAACUGCAAAGACCUUAUGAAAUAGAACUUUUGUUACCAAGAAUAAUUAACUGAAAGAUAGAUAGUGGAUUUGCUUUGUUGCUAAGUCUAAACAUGAGAAGCUUGUUUUUGGUCAGAAUGGCGGUGCCGAACAAAGCUAGUGGUAUGUACAAUAGUAGAGAGGCCCUUGAUUUGCUUAUAUGUGGUUCAGCUAUUAAGUUACUGAAGCAAAGGUACUUUCCUGUCUAUUGAGAGUAUGGUUUCUUCAAAUUGUGAAGUGAAUCCUAAUAUGUCAAAACUCUAGUCCUGUAGUAUGUGCUGGUCUCGCACAUAUUUGGUUAAAAUAGCAUGUACAUCAGGGAAACUACGCAAAGAAAGUUCUCAAUCUAUUUUCGGGUAAGAACAUUGCUAACAUUCACACUUAUAUUAAUCGCUAUUUGAGUUGUUAAGCAACCUGGCGCCAAUUUUUUUAUAGAUGACUGUAGUUCAUCUCUGCUCUGGUAAUUAGAUUAGCUUUUAAAAAGUAUUGUGUAGCCUUGCAUAAUAUUUGUCCAAUUUGGGAGUUGCUUUGUUGAGCAGAAGUUCACAUGUUGAGUCUAGUCAAGUAAUGUCUGCAACAGAAAACGCUAAUGUUACUUGGCUAAAAUAGCAUGUAUGUAAAGUACCGCUAUAUCCUUUAUGAAGAAAGUAUUCAAUCUAAAUUUACAUACUUAUAUUAUAAUAACUAUUAUCCUUCUUACAGUUCUGGGUGUCUCAAGUACUCUUACAAUAUCUUGGUAAAUACAAAUAGACUGUCUCAGUAUUACUUUACUAAGCUAAUGACCCACUAUUUUUUUGGGAAACUUCCUCGGUCUCCUAGGUGUUGCAUCUCCUACUUUAUCUUCAAACUGAGCACUUAUGAACCGGAAGUUGGUUCAUAUCUGUCAAACUGAGCUCUGUCGAAUUGCAUGCCAUGUGAAGCAGUUGGGCGUCAAGCCACACGUCGCGGGGUGAGAAGAAGUUCAGUGUGGCUUCGUUGGACGUCAAGUUGCAUGCUAGGUGAAGCAAUUAGGCGUGGCUUCGUUGGAAGUUAAGCUGCACGAUGCGUGAUAAUUUUUGAUAGCUGAUAAUGGUGGGGCAUCGAGUUUCAUUGUUCGAACAGAACAGACUUCAACUUUUCUUGGUGGCAUGUUCGAGUUGCACUCGCUGACUCAUACUUCAUGGACAUGUGCUUGUGCGCGUGGCAGGAUUUGUAUAUAUGGGUUGUUGUGGUCAGCGCAUAGAGUUCUGACCGUGUCCGUCUUAUUUUCAUAUCGUCCAGUUUGGAACUGUGGGUAGUGCGGUUACGUAUGUCCGUCCCUUUUUUUUUUGCUGAUGUACUCCUAUUUGUUCGUUGCGUCUGACUCCUUGAUGGAAACGUAUCUAAUUUUCCUUGUAUUCCGGGCUAUCCUUGUAUAUAAUGGACAGAUUUAAUACUAAGAUAUCUGUACGUGACAUGUUGCACUGGUUGUACAUGUCAAUAUUUGUAUGUUACGUUUAUAUCUUUUA
Triticum aestivum (bread wheat) is the source of this 5276-nucleotide long non-coding RNA. RefSeq lists it as uncharacterized. The transcript is spliced from 3 exons. Lineage: Eukaryota; Viridiplantae; Streptophyta; Magnoliopsida; Poales; Poaceae. The record is from RefSeq and is a predicted model, not a curated record.